UGCGUGAAGUCGGAAUCGCUAGUAAUCGCGGAUCAGCAUGCCGCGGUGAAUACGUUCCCGGGCCUUGUACACACCGCCCGUCACACCAUGAGAGUUGGGAAUACCCGAAGCCUGUGAGCUAACGUAUGAGGCAGCAGUCGAAGGUAGAAUCAAUGAUUGGGUGAAGUCGUAACAAGGUAUC
RNAcentral lists this ribosomal RNA (181 nucleotides) under uncultured bacterium. RNAcentral describes it as "partial 16S ribosomal RNA". It matches the Rfam family "Bacterial small subunit ribosomal RNA", at positions 1317 to 1500 of the family's 1533-position model. The record is from RNAcentral.